Molecule: long non-coding RNA, 1117 nt
Filed under: Citrus sinensis (sweet orange)
Lineage: Eukaryota; Viridiplantae; Streptophyta; Magnoliopsida; Sapindales; Rutaceae
Description: long non-coding RNA (CSIN_LNC001027)
Source: RNAcentral
AUUAUUGAGCGUCCAUCUUUAGUAUUCCUAUCAAAGAGUGUAGAGCUCAAAACAAGCAAACAACACCUAAAAGUACGGCCAAGGCGGAUGUACGGUACAGCAGCUAAAAAAAUGAAAAUAUAAAAUAAAAAAAUAAUUUCCUUCUUCUAAGUAAAAAUGGAAGGGUUACGCUUUUGACUAUGAAGGAUCUAAGAAGUUAGUGUUUACUUUAAAAGAACCACCCAGCAGUUCAUGUUUAGUAAAGAACAGUUCCAUAAAGAUCUCUACUGAAACUACAGCCAGAAGCAGCAACUUUGAGGUCAAAGGUUACUUCCCAGAUAAAGACUGCAUCAUUGUUGAUCCCAAUGGCAACAUUGUAGCUCAGGUAUACAAUCAACUCCAUGAUCUAAAAGCUGUAGACAUUGCUUUAUUUUUAUUUAUUUAAAAAGAAAGCAAAAGUAUGCUAAAGCUGCAGUGUUCGUUUUGCUUUUGAUCACUUAGUGAUGAUUCCGUUUAAAUAUGACAGAUUGGAGUGAAAAAAGAAAUAGAAGACUUGAUGGAAAGCAAGGAUCUGUAUCACAUAGUGGUGAAACAGAGGAUAGAUCAGGCCUUUAUUGCUGGAGUCAUUGCCACCCUCGACUACAUUUAUGGCGAAUCUACUAGGUGCUGAUCAAUCAGAAUUUUUACCAACUAAUGCCAUUGAAACUACGCAAAAUCAUGGGAACAUUGCAUCCCCUUCUAAAUAUCUUUCUUCAAUUUCAUGCUUGAAUUACAGCACAUCAAUCAUAUCGGGAUUGAGGGUUUUUUUGUCAAUUUCAUGCUUCUAAGCCAUUAAUCAUCUCUUCAACAUCAAUUUUUCAUCAUCUAAAUAUUUUUUUUCACUCUAAAUUACCAAACUUCUAAUUGUUUCAAAUCUCUAAUUAUUUCACACAAAAUUUACAAUACAUCAAAAAAACCCACAAAGGUCAAAAUUACCUCCUCACCUUGCUGUUAACUCACAAAAUGAAAAGGAAAGAGAGGAAACUGUGUUCAUCUUCAACACCUCAGGAUGACAGCGACCGCUUCAUGGAUUCCACUUGUUAUUUGCUUUGAACGAGAUGAUGCCUUCGAUCUUGCGUGAUUACUAAACAAAUAGAAG